Molecule: transfer RNA, 65 nt
Filed under: Dipodomys ordii (Ord's kangaroo rat)
Lineage: Eukaryota; Metazoa; Chordata; Mammalia; Rodentia; Heteromyidae
Rfam family: tRNA
About the family: Transfer RNA (tRNA) molecules are approximately 80 nucleotides in length. Their secondary structure includes four short double-helical elements and three loops (D, anti-codon, and T loops).
Source: Rfam by way of RNAcentral
GGUGGCUCAGUGGUAGAGUGCUUGCCUCACAUGCAUGAGGUCCUGGGUUCGAUUCCUUAGCACCA